GAUGAACGCUGGCGGCGUGCCUAAUACAUGCAAGUCGAGCGAACAGACGAGGAGCUUGCUCCUCUGACGUUAGCGGCGGACGGGUGAGUAACACGUGGAUAACCUACCUAUAAGACUGGGAUAACUUCGGGAAACAGGAGCUAAUACUGGAUAAUAUAUUGAACGGCAUGGUUCAAUAGUGAAAGACGGUUUUGCUGUCACUUAUAGAUGGAUCCGCGCCGCAUUAGCUAGUUGGUAAGGUAACGGCUUACCAAGGCAACGAUGCGUAGCCGACCUGAGAGGGUGAUCAGCCACACUGGAACUGAGACACGGUCCAGACUCCUACGGGAGGCAGCAGUAGGGAAUCUUCCACAAUGGGCGAAAGCCUGACGGAGCAACGCCGCGUGAGUGAUGAAGGUCUUCGGAUCGUAAAACUCUGUUAUUAGGGAAGAACAAAUGUGUAAGUAACUAUGCACGUCUUGACGGUACCUAAUCAGAAAGCCACGGCUAACUACGUG
This 497-nucleotide ribosomal RNA is filed under the name uncultured bacterium. Its description in RNAcentral is "partial 16S ribosomal RNA". It matches the Rfam family "Bacterial small subunit ribosomal RNA", at positions 28 to 507 of the family's 1533-position model. The record is from RNAcentral.